This 426-nucleotide ribosomal RNA is filed under the name uncultured bacterium. RNAcentral describes it as "partial 16S ribosomal RNA". It matches the Rfam family "Bacterial small subunit ribosomal RNA", at positions 355 to 774 of the family's 1533-position model. The record is from RNAcentral.
UGGGGAAUAUUGCACAAUGGGCGCAAGCCUGAUGCAGCCAUGCCGCGUGUAUGAAGAAGGCCUUCGGGUUGUAAAGUACUUUCAGCGGGGAGGAAGGCGAUAAGGUUAAUAACCUUGUCGAUUGACGUUACCCGCAGAAGAAGCACCGGCUAACUCCGUGCCAGCAGCCGCGGUAAUACGGAGGGUGCAAGCGUUAAUCGGAAUUACUGGGCGUAAAGCGCACGCAGGCGGUCUGUCAAGUCGGAUGUGAAAUCCCCGGGCUCAACCUGGGAACUGCAUUCGAAACUGGCAGGCUAGAGUCUUGUAGAGGGGGGUAGAAUUCAGGUGUAGCGGUGAAAUGCGUAGAGAUCUGGAGGAAUACCGGUGGCGAAGGCGGCCCCCUGGACAAAGACUGACGCUCAGGUGCGAAAGCGUGGGGAGCAAACA